ACUGAUCCACAACCCACCAGCCAUGGCUGUACCUACAUCUGUAACCAUUGCGAACCCAUGUGGGCAUAUGCAUUACGCCGCAUUGUCUUCCGUCGGCAAGGCGUCCCAAUCCCCGAGCAAUUGGCCAAUUAUCGGGUAUUCAUGCCGCAAUUGAUCCCAGACUUUCGCAGCCAUCCUGGGUGCACUUGCAGGUUGCGCCUAAAAGUGAUGUAAAUUUCAGAUUGAAAUGUGUGCAACUCAUAUUGUGUAAUCAAUAAGGCAACUGCGAUGUGUAGUCAUUUUCUCUCUAAAUGGAGUUACAGUGCUGCAAGGAAUUUAAAGCUGCCCAAAAAAUAUAAAUUUCAGUCCGUCGCGCCUUUGAAGAAGUCCUCUAUAAGGACCAACUCCCCAGAUACACAUACACUCAUACAGAUACUCGCACAGAUACGUAUACAACCUCAGGGAUACAUAUAGAGCACCCACACAUGCAGACACCCAACUGAACCUAACGACAUAAUAAAACCGGCAUUUUUAUGCAUGUCUGAGUAACUUCAUGAGCCAGACCAGACCAGACCGUCAACCCCCGUCCGCCCAACUACCUUUCGGCCCCACCGCCCACCGCCACGCCUUGCCGGAGUUUUCCUGCUUUUCACUUCCAGUGCAGACAGUCGGCUUUUCUGUUUCAGGUUCACUGGAAGCCAUCGACGGUUCCCGUGGCCUCGCCUUUUCCCGCUAUAGUAUCGCUCUCUCUAGCCAUAGGGAGCGAUUCUGCGC
Molecule: non-coding RNA, 753 nt
Organism: Drosophila melanogaster (fruit fly)
Lineage: Eukaryota; Metazoa; Arthropoda; Insecta; Diptera; Drosophilidae
Source: Ensembl